AGCAGCCGCGGUAAUUCCAGCUCCAAUAGCGUAUAUUAAAGUUGUUGCAGUUAAAAAGCUCGUAGUUGAAUUUCGGGAUCAAUAUGUUGGUCGUGCCUCGGUACGUACUGGCAUUAUUGGUUUCUACCUUCUGAAGAACCUCGAUGUCAUUAAUUUGGUGUCUUGGGGAAUCAGGACUGUUACUUUGAAAAAUUAGAGUGUUUAAAGCAGGCUCACGCUUGAAUACAUUAGCAUGGAAUAAUGAAAUAGGACGUUUGAUUCUAUUUUGUUGGUUUCUAGGAUUGACGUAAUGAUUAAUAGGGAUAGUUGGGGGCAUUAGUAUUCAAUUGUCAGAGGUGAAAUUCUUGGAUUUAUUGAAGACUGACUACUGCGAAAGCAUUUGCCAAGGAUGUUUUCAUUAAUCAAGAACGAAAGUUAGGGGAUCGAAGACGAUCAGAUACCGUCGUAGUCUUAACCAUAAACUAUGCCGACUAGGGAUCGGAUGAUGUUAAUUUUUAAUGUACUCA
This 506-nucleotide ribosomal RNA is filed under the name uncultured Glomeraceae. RNAcentral describes it as "SSU rRNA". It matches the Rfam family "Eukaryotic small subunit ribosomal RNA", at positions 569 to 1078 of the family's 1831-position model. The record is from RNAcentral. Lineage: Eukaryota; Fungi; Glomeromycota; Glomeromycetes; Glomerales; Glomeraceae.